AGUUAACAUACCCCCUCUCUCGGUCUACCCAGUACUGCAACUGAGAGCCGAGCGAAAGUUCAACGAAGAUCGCCAACACGAACUCUGACGAAGAUAUUUGGGAGAUACACAUACAUAUUUGUAAUAAAGAAUUCAUAAUUAUUCUCAUUUCACACCUCAAACUACUCAGUCGUUUUUUUGGAAGCUUUCCUCCCUCGGCCACGGGAUUGUAACUGGCGCAGCCGGUCAACGGACAAGGGAUUAACAAUGCCCACUACGCUUAUCGUUCUAAUUCUAAAGAGGUAUUGAACAUGUGACGGCAGUGGUUGUGGGGAUUUUAUUAGUGAGUGGUGAAAUAGAAAGGAAUUGGAUAAAACAUAAUAACGUGCAAGUGCAAUUAAAACAAAGGAAACAAACGAAAUCAAGUUCAAAUUGCUUCACAGGCGACCGUAUAUGUGUACAUCAAACGCUGAUAAGGCACCGGGAUCGCUUGUGCGGGACAAUUUACAACAAUUAUACCAACGAGUUACUGUGUGUGAUGACCGUAUAUGUGUACAUCAAUCGCUGAUAAGGCACCGGGAUCAUCCAUACACCCUAACUCAUACAAAUGGUAAAUUAAUCAACAACAAAAAAAUAAUAAUAAAAAAAAAAUUAAAAGAGAAAAAAAAUUUUUUCUGACAUGUUAAACUACUGUGUAUGGUUACCAUUUGUGUGUCGGAGAGCGCUUGGUGUGUGCGAGAGUAUUGGUUGCUCUUUGGUUACUUCAUAAGAAUGGUAAUUUCAUCACUAUGGUAAUAUUACAUCAGCCUAUAUUCGCACUGCGAACGGUUGUUGUGUCUCUAUAGUUCUGAGAACAACCGUUUGGCGCGGCGACAGAGCGACGUCGCUGCCGCUGAGUGUUGGCCGUUGUGCACAACAGAAAAGAGAAUGGUAAAGAACGAGAUCAGUCGAAUAUUAGACUACGUUGUGACCAGAACUCGAAUAAAUUUUGGACAUCGAUCGCCUCCGAUAUAACGGGACCUCCUACACAAGUGUUUUUUUAAAAAAAAAAUAAAUAAAAAAAAAAAUAAAUAAUAAUAAAUAAAUAACUAACUUGCUGCGCAGGAGGUGAAUUUGGACAUCAGUCGCCUCCGAGGCAACGGGAUCUAAUUCACAGUGGGUUAUAAAUAAAUAAAUGUAAGUUGUGUGAUUAACGACCGAAUAUGUGCACAUCAAUCGCUGAUAAGGCACCGGGAUCGUUUUCACUUAUCCAUUUACAUGAAAAAAAAAAAUAAUAAUAA
Molecule: long non-coding RNA, 1259 nt
Organism: Drosophila mauritiana
Lineage: Eukaryota; Metazoa; Arthropoda; Insecta; Diptera; Drosophilidae
Exons: 2
Source: RefSeq, a predicted model, not a curated record